This 78-nucleotide non-coding RNA is filed under the name marine eukaryotic metagenome. RNAcentral describes it as "S-adenosyl-L-homocysteine riboswitch". It matches the Rfam family "SAH (S-adenosyl-L-homocysteine) riboswitch aptamer", at positions 4 to 72 of the family's 78-position model. The record is from RNAcentral.
GCCGAGGAGCGUUGCAACGGGCGCCCGCCCGCCAGGCUCGGCUUUAAUGGCGUCUGCCCUUGAUCAACGGCGCUCAGU